CAUUUCAGUUAGCAAUUCCGCUCUUGCAUUCGUUUUAACAUCUGUUGAUGCUUGAAUUGGGUCAAUUGCUUGAAUUGCAUUAUCUUUUGCAGUGUUUACAUCAUCGAUUGACUGUGCAUUUUCAAUAUUUUGAUUACCUUGUGUUAAUUGUGCGUCUACUUGUUGAUUUGCUUGUUCUUUUUCUUCAGUAGUCGCAUCUGCAGUUUGUGCAAUAAGCGCUUUUUGUUCGUUUGCUUUUGUUGCUAAUUCAUCUUU
This 255-nucleotide small RNA is filed under the name Staphylococcus aureus. RNAcentral's name for it is "HMPRFS0000_2388". Lineage: Bacteria; Bacillati; Bacillota; Bacilli; Caryophanales; Staphylococcaceae. The record is from RNAcentral.